This 2141-nucleotide ribosomal RNA is filed under the name Escherichia coli. RNAcentral describes it as "partial 23S ribosomal RNA". It matches the Rfam family "Bacterial large subunit ribosomal RNA", at positions 1 to 2157 of the family's 2925-position model. The record is from RNAcentral. Lineage: Bacteria; Pseudomonadati; Pseudomonadota; Gammaproteobacteria; Enterobacterales; Enterobacteriaceae.
GGGUUGUGAGGUUAAGUGACUAAGCGUACACGGUGGAUGCCCUGGCAGUCAGAGGCGAUGAAGGACGUGCUAAUCUGCGAUAAGCGUCGGUAAGGUGAUAUGAACCGUUAUAACCGGCGAUUUCCGAAUGGGGAAACCCAGUGUGAUUCGUCACACUAUCAUUAACUGAAUCCAUAGGUUAAUGAGGCGAACCGGGGGAACUGAAACAUCUAAGUACCCCGAGGAAAAGAAAUCAACCGAGAUUCCCCCAGUAGCGGCGAGCGAACGGGGAGGAGCCCAGAGCCUGAAUCAGUGUGUGUGUUAGUGGAAGCGUCUGGAAAGGCGCGCGAUACAGGGUGACAGCCCCGUACACAAAAAUGCACAUGCUGUGAGCUCGAUGAGUAGGGCGGGACACGUGGUAUCCUGUCUGAAUAUGGGGGGACCAUCCUCCAAGGCUAAAUACUCCUGACUGACCGAUAGUGAACCAGUACCGUGAGGGAAAGGCGAAAAGAACCCCGGCGAGGGGAGUGAAAAAGAACCUGAAACCGUGUACGUACAAGCAGUGGGAGCACAGAGCAAUCUGUGUGACUGCGUACCUUUUGUAUAAUGGGUCAGCGACUUAUAUUCUGUAGCAAGGUUAACCGAAUAGGGGAGCCGAAGGGAAACCGAGUCUUAACUGGGCGUUAAGUUGCAGGGUAUAGACCCGAAACCCGGUGAUCUAGCCAUGGGCAGGUUGAAGGUUGGGUAACACUAACUGGAGGACCGAACCGACUAAUGUUGAAAAAUUAGCGGAUGACUUGUGGCUGGGGGUGAAAGGCCAAUCAAACCGGGAGAUAGCUGGUUCUCCCCGAAAGCUAUUUAGGUAGCGCCUCGUGAAUUCAUCUCCGGGGGUAGAGCACUGUUUCGGCAAGGGGGUCAUCCCGACUUACCAACCCGAUGCAAACUGCGAAUACCGGAGAAUGUUAUCACGGGAGACACACGGCGGGUGCUAACGUCCGUCGUGAAGAGGGAAACAACCCAGACCGCCAGCUAAGGUCCCAAAGUCAUGGUUAAGUGGGAAACGAUGUGGGAAGGCCCAGACAGCCAGGAUGUUGGCUUAGAAGCAGCCAUCAUUUAAAGAAAGCGUAAUAGCUCACUGGUCGAGUCGGCCUGCGCGGAAGAUGUAACGGGGCUAAACCAUGCACCGAAGCUGCGGCAGCGACACUAUGUGUUGUUGGGUAGGGGAGCGUUCUGUAAGCCUGUGAAGGUGUGCUGUGAGGCAUGCUGGAGGUAUCAGAAGUGCGAAUGCUGACAUAAGUAACGAUAAAGCGGGUGAAAAGCCCGCUCGCCGGAAGACCAAGGGUUCCUGUCCAACGUUAAUCGGGGCAGGGUGAGUCGACCCCUAAGGCGAGGCCGAAAGGCGUAGUCGAUGGGAAACAGGUUAAUAUUCCUGUACUUGGUGUUACUGCGAAGGGGGGACGGAGAAGGCUAUGUUGGCCGGGCGACGGUUGUCCCGGUUUAAGCGUGUAGGCUGGUUUUCCAGGCAAAUCCGGAAAAUCAAGGCUGAGGCGUGAUGACGAGGCACUACGGUGCUGAAGCAACAAAUGCCCUGCUUCCAGGAAAAGCCUCUAAGCAUCAGGUAACAUCAAAUCGUACCCCAAACCGACACAGGUGGUCAGGUAGAGAAUACCAAGGCGCUUGAGAGAACUCGGGUGAAGGAACUAGGCAAAAUGGUGCCGUAACUUCGGGAGAAGGCACGCUGAUAUGUAGGUGAAGCGACUUGCUCGUGGAGCUGAAAUCAGUCGAAGAUACCAGCUGGCUGCAACUGUUUAUUAAAAACACAGCACUGUGCAAACACGAAAGUGGACGUAUACGGUGUGACGCCUGCCCGGUGCCGGAAGGUUAAUUGAUGGGGUCAGCGCAAGCGAAGCUCUUGAUCGAAGCCCCGGUAAACGGCGGCCGUAACUAUAACGGUCCUAAGGUAGCGAAAUUCCUUGUCGGGUAAGUUCCGACCUGCACGAAUGGCGUAAUGAUGGCCAGGCUGUCUCCACCCGAGACUCAGUGAAAUUGAACUCGCUGUGAAGAUGCAGUGUACCCGCGGCAAGACGGAAAGACCCCGUGAACCUUUACUAUAGCUUGACACUGAACAUUGAGCCUUGAUGUGUAGGAUAGGUGGGAGGCUU